This is a non-coding RNA of Schistosoma haematobium, 46 nucleotides long. Lineage: Eukaryota; Metazoa; Platyhelminthes; Trematoda; Strigeidida; Schistosomatidae. The record is from Rfam.
GCACUGCUGAAGAGUCCCACAAUAGGACAAGACAGCCGUCCAGUGC